RNAcentral lists this long non-coding RNA (228 nucleotides) under Lathyrus oleraceus (garden pea). RNAcentral describes it as "Pisum sativum (pea) long non-coding RNA (PSAT_LNC023028)". The record is from RNAcentral. Lineage: Eukaryota; Viridiplantae; Streptophyta; Magnoliopsida; Fabales; Fabaceae.
UCAUUUCUCAUCCAUUCUCAAAUAUAAACAUAUCAGCAUGUUCAGCAAAGCAAGAUCUACGUAUUUAUGGCAAGAAAAUGGCAAAAGGAGAUGGUCGAAUUUUCACUUACUUGAAAUGCAGCGAUCAAAAAUCGUGUCCUCAAGCUUCCAAACUCUCCAGAUCUACUCCUAUGCUUAUGAUUUGAAGCUUUGUGCAAGAAUUAACAGUUGGAAACACCUAGAUCCAGC